Long non-coding RNA from Alligator mississippiensis (American alligator), 207 nucleotides. RefSeq lists it as uncharacterized. The record is from RefSeq and is a predicted model, not a curated record. NCBI's taxonomy places the organism in Eukaryota, Metazoa, Chordata, Crocodylia, Alligatoridae. The transcript has 2 exons.
CAGAACCAACGGACUGAGACUGAAAGAGGGGAGUGGGUACCGGUCCUGAUACGCAGCAUCUUCUCUUACCAAGUAUCCCCUGUGGAGUUCUGACACUUGACUGUGAGGUUCAGUCUUUGCAUUGCAACAGCUGAUGAUAUGACAGCUGUCAGAGUCCUGAUGACUGCAAUCUUCUUAAAUAAUAAAUGGUGAGGUGCAUAAACUGUA